Molecule: ribosomal RNA, 399 nt
Filed under: uncultured bacterium
Lineage: Bacteria
Description: bacterial SSU rRNA
Rfam family: Bacterial small subunit ribosomal RNA
Source: RNAcentral
UAUUGGGCAAUGGGCGCAAGCCUGACCCAGCAACGCCGCGUGAAGGAAGAAGGCUUUCGGGUUGUAAACUUCGUUUAAGAGGGAAGAGCAGAAGACGGUACCUCUUGAAUAAGCCACGGCUAACUACGUGCCAGCAGCCGCGGUAAUACGUAGGUGGCAAGCGUUGCCCGGAUUUACUGGGUGUAAAGGACGUGCAGCCGGGCUUACAAGUCAGAUGUGAAAUCCUGCUGCUCAACCGCAGAACUGCAUUUGAAACUGUAGGUCUUGAGUACUGGAGAGGCAGACGGAAUUCCUAGUGUAGCGGUGAAAUGCGUAGAUAUUAGGAGGAACACCAGUGGCGAAGGCGGUCUGCUGGACAGCAACUGACGGUGAGGCGCGAAAGCGUGGGGAGCAAACAGG